ACCGAAAUAGCUCAGAUGGGAGAACGUUAGGCUGAAGAUCUAAAGGUCCCUGGUUUGAUCCUGGAUUUCAGCA
This is a non-coding RNA of Cnephaeus nilssonii (northern bat), 73 nucleotides long. The record is from the annotation of a GenBank genome assembly. NCBI's taxonomy places the organism in Eukaryota, Metazoa, Chordata, Mammalia, Chiroptera, Vespertilionidae.